GCGAUUAUUCGCACCAUUCAAACAAUGGUGGGAUAGCGUUUGUUUUGCAGUAGCUAAAACCCGCCCUCGAGGCGGUUUUU
RNAcentral lists this small RNA (80 nucleotides) under Collimonas sp. OK307. Its description in RNAcentral is "Pseudomonas sRNA P9". It matches the Rfam family "Pseudomonas sRNA P9". Rfam says of the family: P9 appears to be conserved in several Pseudomonas species in addition to Bordetella spp. In both Pseudomonas and Bordetella spp P9 appears to be located upstream of a predicted threonine dehydratase gene. Lineage: Bacteria; Pseudomonadati; Pseudomonadota; Betaproteobacteria; Burkholderiales; Oxalobacteraceae. The record is from RNAcentral.